Molecule: long non-coding RNA, 7243 nt
Filed under: Sus scrofa (pig)
Lineage: Eukaryota; Metazoa; Chordata; Mammalia; Artiodactyla; Suidae
Description: lncRNA (ENSSSCG00030022779.1)
Source: RNAcentral
GAUAAUGUGUACAAAAGGCUACCACAUUUAGUAUCUCUGAAAUAUUACUGAAUGUAUGUACAGAAAGUAUUCAUAAAGGAAUACUUGACUGUUGAAAGUAGGUUUGCAGGAGACCUAGGCAAAAAGAGGAGGCUGCUGCGGGCAAGAGAUAGAGCACUGUGUGCAAAGAGAUGAAGGCACCUGUGCUUGGUGCAUAAAAUAUGGGGUAUAAAAUAUGAGAUGGGGUUUGGAGGAAUAUGUGAUAGAGGGCAAAAGAAAAAGGAGUAUGCAGAACAUGAGAUGUGUCAUGCUAAGCAAUUUUAGCUUUUAGUUCAUAGGUAUGAGACAGGGUUCACUAAAGCAUUUUGGGCAAGUAAGAAACAUGAUUGGACCUUGCUUUAAAUCCUGGAAAAAGCAAUUUUUAUGGCUCUGCAUUCAUUAGGAUUUUUAAGUUGCAAGGAACAGAAGUUCCCUAGGAGAGUUUACUAUAAGAAUAAGCAGAAAAGCAAGAGAACUUUCUGCCAACAAUUAAACAGAUAAUAUGGAGAAAUACUGGGUGUGUUCUGUGACUUUGGGAAGAGCAAUUUCUCUAAUGUGGGGGCAGACACCUGAUUACAAAUGGAGGACUUAAUUGGUGAGGGAGAAAUAGAAAUGCUGGAAAACAACUACUUUUUCAAAAAGCUUGAGAAGAGAAGGAAGCUUCUAGGCCAACAUGUUGCUGAGAAUUGAUGCUUCGAAAAAACUUCUUUCCAACACAUAACAAUGAGGGGUAAAAUGUUAAACACACACAUAUACACACAAACACCACAACCGGACACAGAUCUGAGAUAGAUAUCUAUCUGGCAGAAACAAAGAGUGGUGAAUGGAGGCUGAAGUCACACUUUUUUGGGUUUUGUAGUUGUGACAAAUAAUAUAGCAGUGCUGGGCCAAGGUCAUUAAAAGCAGUCCUCUAAUAGUGGGGGCGGAUUUGAGUUCCACUUUCUGCUGAGAGCCACGAACAAGAUAGUGAAGGUCAGCUUGCUUGUUAGAGCUAAGAAUAUAUAGAAAUCAUAGGUUUAAGAAAGUACUGGGGAAAAAAAACAGUGUCAUUUUUAAGCUGCCUUCAUGUUUCAGCCUACAUUCAUCAUCUUCCAACUGCUCACAUAGGCAGUAACUUCUCACUGUGAUUAUACAAUUAGGCCUGUAUUGGAGAUUCAAAAUAUGCAGAAGCAAACACAAAACCCCCAGACCAAGAAGAAUGAGUAGUGUGGGUGUGUGUGUGUGUGUGUGUGUGUGUGUGUGUGUGUGUGUGUGUGUGAAGAUAAGACAGAGAAUCCAAGAGACAGAGAGAGAAAUGAACCAGCACACAAAAAUUCUAACACAUAUGAAGCAAAUCUGAUAAAUAAAAUCAAUUAAGAGCUUUUCUAUACGGUAUUUAUUUUAUAAAACAAUCUGACAAAGACUUUCUUAAAAUGUCAAGAUGUCAAUGAGAUAACUUUAGACGCAAUUUCCAAUUAAACAGAAGAGAAAAAUUGUUAAGCAAAAACAAACACUAACACAGCAAUAUUAGAGAUAGAUAGAUAGAUAAAUGGUUAGACAGAUAGAAUGCCAAUUAUAAAUCUUAGAAAUGAAAAAUAAAGUAAUGAAUCUGAAAAUGCAUUAGAUGGGACAAUUUCUAGACAAAUCAACCCAAGAAUUAAUGAGCUAAAGCAUAGAACUGAAGAAUUCUAGCAUAGGGACAAAGAUAAAUAGAAAAACACAGUUAAGAAUCUACACUGAACCCAACAUUACAAAACAGGAGCUUUUGAAAAAGAACAAAAAAAGAGAAUAGUAGAUAGAGAUGAAAUAUUUAAAGAAAUAAUCAUUGAGAAGUUUUCAGACUUACGGAAGGACUAGUUUCUCAGGUCGAAGGAACUCUAAGAAUCAAGGAAAUUAAAUAAAAAUAAAACUACACUUGAAAACAUUAUAAUAAUAGAGAGGUGGGGGGGAUCUUAAAAGGUAGCAGAGGAAAAAGUGAUUACUUUCAGGUAAUGACAGUAAGUCUUAACAGGAAUUUUUAUCAGCAUGAUAGAGGCCAGAAGAAACUAGGUAAAACCUUUAAGUAGGCAAGGGAAACAAAUGCCCAGACAUAAAAUUAUUGUGCCUAUGCAAUACUAAGAGCAAAAUAAAGAUAUUUUCAUAUGUACAAAGUCUACCCAUACACCCUUAUAUGUACAUAAUCCACACACAGUCACACUCAUAUACACUCACAAACACACUUGUACUCACACUAACACAUAGUACACACUGUUCUUAUUCAAGACAUAUUUUAGCUGGCAGACAGGUGAAUCUGUAAGAAGGGCAAGGAAUGUGAAAAACUGAUAAAAAUAUGUUAAAUUCAUUUGCUAUUGACUAUACAAAGUAAUUUUUAAACUUUUUUAAAACAUAAAGAAUCAAAAUUCCAAACAAAAUUAAUAAGGUGACAGGGGUCAAGAGAUAUCAAAUGAGUGAAUAAAGCCUAUCAGAGAUCUUAUAAUUGAGAAAAAAUAGAAAUAUCGUACAGCAAUAAACUUUGUAGAUAGUUUCAUAUUUAAAUAAUCAUACUUAAUAGUAAGUAUAAUUACUAAAAGAAAAAAAAUAGAUAUUCAAUCAAGAGCCAAAAAAGACUGAACUGAGAUGGACCACUAUCAUCCACAGCCCAGUUUCCUCUAGGUGGGCACGGGCUUUCUCAAGGACAAAGUGGUGGUUGGAUGGUCCUUAACUAAACACUGGGAUGCCCAUAGGGUGACAAGUAAAUGCUUUUAUCAGAAAAUAACAAGCUUCAAGAGAGUGAAUUUCUGUCUUCAUCAGUGAACAUAACCCUGCAACUUGGCCAUGGAUGGCUAUGAAUGAUACUGGAUUCUUUGCAAAGACUGUUACUAUACGUGCUGGAGAGUAAUAUUUUACAGUGUUUUUCAGGAGACAGGAAUUCCACUCCAGGCCCAAAGUUCACAGCUCCUUGGGAUGAGCUCUUAGGUUUUCUUUUAAAGCCAUCUAUCAGGGCCCAGGUCAGCUGCUAGAACACUAGGUCAGGAUCGGACCAACAUCUGACACUGUACUAAGAACAACUGUUCCCUCCCAUUCACCUGAAAAUCCACUUUAUCAGUGGAGUUAGGCCAAAAUGGGCUCUCCUAUCCCCAGACCCUCACAUCCACUGUCCUUUUAUUUCCCUUACUGGAGGCUACCCUCAAUGAUUCAGAGUGACAUUCUGUCCCUGCCUAUGCUGUGCUAGGGGGUCGUAGAGAGGGCUACACAGGACAGAGGAACACAAGCAAGUCCCUAGGUAGGUUCAGGGAACCCCUCCCUGGUGACACUGAUGGACCCAGCAGAUCCCAGGCACUGGAGGGAGACUUAGAACUUGUUGAGGAAUGUAUUCUCUUUUUUUUUUUUUUUUUUUUUUUUUUUUUUGUCCUUUUAAGGCCGCACCCACGGCAUACGGAGGGUCCCAGGCUAGGGGUCGAAUCAGAGCUGUUGCUGCCAGCCUACACCACAGCCACAGCAACAUGGGAUCCGAGCCACAUCUGAGACCUACACCACAGAUCACAGCAACACCAGAUCCUUUACCCUCUGAGCAAUGCCAGGGAUUGAAUCUGUGUCCUCAUGGAUGGUAGUCAGAUUCGUUUCUACUAAGCCAUGACGGGAACUCCGAGGAAUGUAUUCUAAACCAUGAGCUCUCUAAGGCACAGGGCCCCUCCUUCCCCGGGUCUGGGGUAUGCAAUGAGGACCAAGCUACAAGAAUAAUAUUUACAAAUGAAUCUGAUCCAAGUUCUGGAUUCUGGUUGGGCUGGAUGCCCCCAAGUUUCAGGUCUCAGGUUGACCAGAGCAGUAGUAGAUCUGUUCCUCCUUAAGCCUCAGAAGAUAUGAGCUGAUAAACAAAGCUAAGAGUUGGUUAUGAAAAAAGAAAGAGGACACUUCUCUGCCAAACUUACUGUUCUUAUUUUGCAUCAUCACAGGAUGUUGAUUAUUUCAGGAUUCACAUCCAAGACUCUAUUGAAUAUAAACUAAUUAUUACCUCAAUCACUGCUAUUUAUAGUUACUUUGCCUCCAAGAAAUUUAGAGGAAGAUUUAAUUAAGUAAGAAGGCUUGACAAGGCAAUGUAUUUCUGAGAAGUUGUAGCAUGCUACAAAUGGCGACAUGAGGGCAAAUGCCAAUGGUUUUAUCCUCAAAUGAACUGUAAUAACUUCCCCGAAGUGCUCCCUUUGGAACUUCCAAUUGUUAUAAAAUGGAAUUUAUAAUUAAAUGAAGAAAUGAACACAGUGUGCUGAACUAAAAUGGAAGUCUAGGAAACUCCAACUUUUUUUUCAGUAUAAAUAAACACAAAGAAGGGAAUAAAAGAGAACUAAUAUUAUCCUAAAGUGUGUUGAGGACUUUCAUAGAUAAGAUAGUGUAUUAGACAAUUAUACUUUCAGCAUUUAAGGUAGAACUCACAAUGGUACAAUGAAGAAUGUUCAUUAAAUAAGUGGGAGAUUAAAGUAUUAAGUACAAUGGCAAUGUAUGCCAGUAAGUGGAUUUAUUAAAGGGGGAUGUGGGGAUAAAUAACAGCAAAUACUUUCCGCAGCCUAAGGCCAGACAUUGGAAAACAUAUCCAGGAAAAACUUACUUAUUUAUAAUCGAGGCCUUAGGGAUGACUAUGACUCUUCCAGGUACACUGUCAACUUGUCCACCUUUGCUCCAGGUUCUGUAUGUUCUCUCAUGAUGACUCAAAUACAUCUUGCCCCUGUUUCUAUGUCACCUUUGAUAUAAUCCAAAUAACAUUUUCUAUGGGUUUUUAAUUUAAAAUCAAGGAAAAUUCAGGCACCAUUAUAACCUAUUUAAAAAGAAAUCUGGCAUCGGAAUCAGAAAAUUGCUGUAAUCCUGCUACUUGGCAUUAUUAUUUUUGAUAAACCAUGCUUCAGUUUUCCCAACUAAAAAAAAGUAUAUUACUCUCUACCAUGAAGAGCUGUUAUACACAUUAGGCAUAACUCUGCUAAAUUUUUGCCCAGUACUUGGUAAAAGGCAAGAUCACAAUGUAUGGUAUCACUUAUUUUUAUUAUCUUUUGGAUCUGCCAUUCUUGGUCAAGUAUCAUCUAGUACAAAGGGUGAGUAUACAUGCCUGGAUUAUUGGCCAACUGGGGGACCGAUGUAGGACUAUCAGUGGUGGUCAGAAUAGUAGGGUCCUGGGAUAAACUGUACUAGCAAUGGCUGUCUAGCUGGGCUACUUAACAAAGUUCUAGGUUUCAGAUGUUAUCCUAAAGUGGGCUGGCACAAUCAUAGUUUUGCUAGUUCACUGUAGCAUCUCCAAAAAGACAACUGGUGGCAGGCUUGACCAGCUACAAUGAUUUCUUUGUAGAGAAUCUCAUCAGUGCAUAUGGUCCAAAGUUAGCAUAAUAGUUCACAAUUAAAUGUUUUACUGUAAAUCUUCCAACAAUUUUCUUUCUCUUUUGAAGAGAAAUUAUUAAUGGACUAAGUCCCACAAAUGAAAGAAUACCUCUUUGCUAAGUUUGAAACCCACUCCAAACUGACAAAUCGGAGCUUUGAAGGCUAAAUAAAAUGUUUUUGGAUUUUGCUAUCAUUUACCCAUAACCAAACCUAAUUUCCUAUUUUGGUGGAGAAAAUUAACACUAACCCUCAUUUGAAAAUCCCCAAAGAUUUUUUCAGAUACCGCAAGUCAUUUUCAGACCAAAAGCUGGAAGAACAAGCAUAAAUAAAUCAAGACAUGUGGGAUUUGUUUCCUUUUAAAAAUGUGCAUUAAUUUUUUUAAAAGUUCAGGCAAAGUCCAUUUGAAAACUUCUAAGAGUUGUACCAAGCCAAAGACGUGUGUACCUCAUCGGAUUGUGGUGAGGGGGUCCUGAUUUCUAGUGAGCACAUAUGCACACAAUACUGUAACUGUACUUAUUGCCUUUAAAAGAUAUAUUAAGGAAUGAGGGUAAUCCAAAAGCCUUUAGAGACCUAGGGUAGUACAAGAAAUCCCCAAAUAUUUCCAAAUCAGUUAGAAAGGACAAUUCACCUAGGGUGAAACCUAGGUUAUCUGAAUGGUAUGAUAACCUCCAACCUCUCACUUCCUCUCCUCUGUACUUAGCAAUAAAAUAGGAGACAUUCCCCAGAGCUGUACUCUGCAAUAGAACUGUCUGCAACAAUGUACAUGUUUUUCAUUCUGUGAUGUCUAGUACAGCAGCCACUAGCUACGUGUGGCUACUGAGUAACUAAAAGAUGGCUGGGCCUGAGAAAAUGAAUUUUUUAUUUAGUUUUAAUUAAAUUUAAUUUAAACUUACACAAUUUCAUGUGGCUAGUGGCUACUGUAAUGAACAGUACAGCUCUGUGGAACAGGAAUAUACUCAUCUUUGAAUAAAUCUCUAUAAUAAUAAAAUGAAUUAAUGAAGAUUUCUAGAUGGAAAUUUGAUUAAACAGAUGUUUGAUAAGCCCUUAAUGUUUAAUGUUGGAACAAAAUGUUCAUGCAUUUAAACUAUGUCACUUGUCCUCAAAUAUUUGUUUUUUCCACUCCAAUUAACAGAAAGUGCCCACAGCUAUAUUUCAUUUUUAACAGAAUUUCUCUCCAACUUCGAGUACAUGGAUCUUGCCUGCCCACACUUGAAAAAUAGAGAUGCAUGGAAUGUUACAGCCAGAUGGGGCCUUAAGGAACCUAUUCUAGUGGCCCUAAACUAUGUCCCCACAAUGGCUAAGCCAAGAUUUCCCAACAUAAAAUUGAUAGUGCAGUAUAUUUUUCCAAUUUUUAAAAACAGAAAGUUAAUAGAAAAUUUUUUUCAAUUAAAUUUUUUCUCACAUAAAUUUCUCUGAAGAUGUUGGCACUGCAGUAACUUAUCACAGACAUCAAAAAUCAAUAAGCAAGAAGCAAACAAGGUGCAAACAAGAAGCACCCAGAAAUGUUUAUUGUAAUAACUUGAUUUAUUGUGCACAAAUGGUGAUUAUCAUGUGAUUAUAUUUUGCCUCUAUCUAACCUUAUUUUCCAUUAGUAAAAUUUCUCCUAGUUCAUCUGAAAAUUGAAGAUCAUGCAUACACAGUACUCCACUAAAAAUGAAUAUGUGGAAAACAGAAUUCCAACUGCAGGUUCUAAUGUUAAACAAGUUUGAGAACUUCUGAUCUAGUCUAGCUCCAUAAUUCCACAGAUUUACCAACUUAAUACCCAAGAGAAAUGACUUGUCCAAAGUCACAUAAGUUAGUGACAAAAAUUGAUACUUGACAAAUCUGUUCUGUUUAUUCUUCUUCCCUUCUUUCAACUCUCAAGGAUUCAAUCCAUUUAAAAAAUUCUCAACAUUUACUUUAUUAUGUG